GCAAAAUCUUCCAUUGCUGCAGCACUAAAAAAAAAAUUAUAAUAAUACAUAAGUAUUUCUGACAAAUCCAAAAAUUCUGUGACAAACCAGACUAGAUGAUUUUUCCUUACUAAGUUAAACAAGAGAAAAAGCUGAUGUUUUUAACUUACUAAUUUCUCAGCUUUCCACCAAGGCUGAAAAAAAGAUCUCACAACUUAUAAAUCAUCCUAGAUAAUAUACAUAUAUAAUAAAUAUAAUAUGGAUAUUAUAAUUAUUAUUAAAAAUUAUCAUAUUUAUUAAUCGAGUAAAACAAUAGAAAUAUAAUUUGAACUUUUUAUAAAAAUACUAAAUUAGUCUCAAUUAUUCAAAUUAUAAUUAUUUAGGUUAUUAUAAUAAUAAAAUAUAUUAUUUUCUUUCAGUUAAUA
This is a long non-coding RNA of Daktulosphaira vitifoliae (grape phylloxera), 404 nucleotides long. RefSeq lists it as uncharacterized. NCBI's taxonomy places the organism in Eukaryota, Metazoa, Arthropoda, Insecta, Hemiptera, Phylloxeridae. The transcript is spliced from 2 exons. The record is from RefSeq and is a predicted model, not a curated record.